GAAUUCAGAGAGCAGAAAAGCUUCUGAUUCCAUCCCUUGUCAAUUCCACUAAAACUUUAAAGCAGCAUCCAGACCAUAGCUGCAUGGUAGAUGAUCUGUCUCUGCAGAAGGAUGAAGAAACACAGAGCUAUUAGUGAAGAAGGACUUUCCUCAAGCAGUCUUCCACACUAAAAAAGGUGCUCUCACGCUAGCAGGAAUGAUUCUGUACAAAGAAAUGAGCUGUAGGAAUGGAAAAAAAAAAACAAACCUGUGAAGAGGUGGAGCCUGUGUAGUAAGGGUAAUGAAGACGCUACGGACGAAGAACACAAUACCUUGUUGUGUCUUGGUGCACCUGGUAUUUAUGUCAGUAAUUCUCAUUAGGUUAAUGUGAAUAACAGUCACAAAUCCCCUGUGGGAUGAGAAGAGAACAGAUUCGUUAAUGUUUCCAUGAGGAAUACUUUGAAACCUUCAUAAAACAUUCAUAUUUGAUGGAAAGGAAAACCUACUUUAAUAAAACAUGUACAGUUGUCACACAAUGCAAUUGGUACCAUAUGAUUGGUAUUUUAUCUAUUUGGGUAUCAUCUAUAACAUACUUGUAUUGCUAAUAUAUAUUAUAAGGCCAAGAUCACUUUGUUUCUUAUUAGUGGUUUGUUUAUCAAACAUUAACAGUUUACUAUAACCUUGAAAUGAAGCGUAUUAACUAAAUAAGCCAGAAUUAACCCUAGUUUUACAGAACAGCUUCUUUUUUUUUUUUUUUUUUUCUCUUUAAGAUCCCAUUUCUAAACUUGAAAAGCAGAUAUCUGCACCAGAAAACAGCUGAAUUUUAGAUGUUUGUUAUUUAGGGUUUAUUUUCUCGUAUUAGCAGAAAGUUGAAGUGAUUAAUUUCAUCUUCAAAAUGUCUGCUGCUUCCAGAAUGCAACCAAGAACAUUUUGCUCAUUAUGAUGUACCCAUAAUGUCCUUUGACUACAGAAUACCACAGAAUGUCCAUAAAACAAGGCACACAGCUACUGAAAACACUCAGGGUUGCACAUACACAGGAUCUUUCCAGGAAGGUUCUUUCUGCCUUGUGUCAACCACCUGCCAUUUCUGGAAGGAAAAAGCACCAGGGAGGCAGCCCCAGAGGAUGCUUUGAGCUGCUGCUGCCCCUCCUGCAGCAGCCAUGGCCCAAGGACAACUGCGAUAAUGCUCCUCCAGCCAGGAGGCAGCCAGAUUCGUCACUCAGCUAA
RNAcentral lists this long non-coding RNA (1206 nucleotides) under Phasianus colchicus (ring-necked pheasant). RNAcentral's name for it is "lncRNA (ENSPCLG00000002803.1)". Lineage: Eukaryota; Metazoa; Chordata; Aves; Galliformes; Phasianidae. The record is from RNAcentral.